UUAGUUGGAGACAUUUAAGAGCAU
This 24-nucleotide microRNA is filed under the name Zea mays. RNAcentral describes it as "microRNA miR-3207". Lineage: Eukaryota; Viridiplantae; Streptophyta; Magnoliopsida; Poales; Poaceae. The record is from RNAcentral.